Molecule: long non-coding RNA, 1088 nt
Organism: Gasterosteus aculeatus aculeatus (three-spined stickleback)
Lineage: Eukaryota; Metazoa; Chordata; Actinopteri; Perciformes; Gasterosteidae
Source: RefSeq, a predicted model, not a curated record
GCCCAUUUUCCUCUCCUACGGCGUCUCACCACGUGACGAAAGGCUGGGCGGGACGGGCGCUCUCCCACUACCCUCACCUGUGGCCAAUCACCAAUCGGGCACGAGUUAUGGCCUGCUGUCUCCCAGGCCUCCUUGUCGGAUCAUUAUCUCUUGACGACGCGACACGACGCGACUCGACUCGCCAGCAUGCCUACGCAGCCUUUGCUCAGCAUCCUCCAGGGCCGCCCAGUCACGGCCCUCUCCUCACGAGCCUCACGGGAAAUAAGUAUUUUCUUUUUGACCUCACAACUUUGUCUCCGGUUCUGCUUUUGGAUCCAGUUCUCAUCAGCCCUAACAGAAUGAUCCGAUAGGGAAAUAUGGAUCCAGCGAACCCAGACGCCCUCCAGGACGCCCUCAGCUCACAAGAAAUCCUGAUUGGUAAACAUGAUCAGCUAUUGAAUGGAAUUAUGGAAACCUUACACUCCCUUUCUGCUGCACUGGCUCAGUUGGCUCCCAGCUCCAGUACAUCUCCACCAUGGGAGUCCAGGCCUCACCAGCUGUGCAGCAGUUGGACAGAGGGCGUGGCCAGCAGCCGCGGCGGCAGCACGCUGAUUUCCUUCACGAUGUUGGCCAGACGCACAGGGAGCUCCUGCCGCAGGAACACGAACGACGUGCGCUCACAGGCGUUGGUGGAACCUGGAGGUCGGAACAGAAGGGUAGUCUUAACUCACACGUACUUGGUGGUCGCAUGAGCGAAUUGAGCGAAUUGAGAUGGCUGAGAUGAAUUGAGGUGACUUGUUAAAAUGCUUUUCGCUCGGUAUAUUUCAUAUCUGGCUCGGUCAUGAAGGCAUUGAGAUGUGGUCGAAAGCUCUACAAAGUGCACCGAUGUCAAGAGUAAACUAAUUAUUUACGGAACUGAUCAUGAGGAAGACAUAGUGAAUUAAAACAAAACCAUGGUACUGUACAACAUCAAUGAAAGGUGCUUGACCUCCCCAGGACGAAUGGACCACGAGCAGCAGCAAAGGAACCACGGAGGCACAACAACACUCACCGAAAUCCAAAAACUGCUUCAUGGACAGAGGAGAGGGGGAGAACUUGGAGAAGUGGUC